Molecule: RNA transcript, 793 nt
Organism: Carya illinoinensis
Lineage: Eukaryota; Viridiplantae; Streptophyta; Magnoliopsida; Fagales; Juglandaceae
Gene name: ubiquitin-like protein ATG12
Exons: 6
Source: RefSeq, a predicted model, not a curated record
GGAAGCAGCCGAACACUCGGAGAGUACGACAUUACUUGGAAAGCCCAACCUAAUCUGGAUGCAACCUGAAUUCUAUCCUGUCAGUCGUCGGGCCCCUUUGCCCUGUCAAGGCUUACUGGGGCCCAAGCAAUAACCAUAGAAAGCCCAGAAACUGUGAUAAAAAUAAAAUUAUUAAUGCUGCGGAAAUAGCAAUCCUCUUCCGUUGUCUCCGAUCCGUGGCUCGGUGUUUACCGGAAAUAAACCAAUGGCCGCCGCUGAAUCUCAGUCUCCGAGUUCUGUGCGGAAAGUUGUUGUUCAUCUUAGAGCUACUGGCGAUGCCCCUAUACUCAGACAAGCCAAAUUUAAGAUACCUGGAAGUGACAAGUUUGCUAAAGUAAUUGACUUUCUACGGCGGCAGCUUCAUCGGGAGACUUUGUUUAUGUCAACAGUGCGUUCUCGCCAAACCCAGAUGAAUUGGUUAUCGAUUUGUAUAACAAUUUUGGUUUUGAUGGGAAACUGGUGGUAAAUUAUGCUUGUUCCAUGGCGUGGGGCUAACGGUGCUGGGUGGUGUUGUAAAAUUGUUCAUGUAAAAUUUGGAUUAUUACUUCCAUACAUGCAAGGAAACACAAUUUGCUGGUAGAUUGAAGGUGAUAUUAGGAAAUGAAAAGUGGAACCGAAUUUGAAUUCAUUAUGAUUUGAUUUGGACAAGAUUUGUGCCUAAUAUAUGGGUAUGAAAAGGAUGUACUUCCCAUUGAUUGCUAUCCAGCUGCUGAAUAAAUUUUGAUGCAUAACUAAUGUUACAGUACCUUGUCAA